Molecule: long non-coding RNA, 384 nt
Filed under: Oryza brachyantha (malo sina)
Lineage: Eukaryota; Viridiplantae; Streptophyta; Magnoliopsida; Poales; Poaceae
Description: long non-coding RNA (OBRA_LNC000635)
Source: RNAcentral
AAUUUUAUAAAUUUUUUCAUAUGUUUUAACGAUUAUUUACAUAGCAACCGAUAUGCUAAAAAACUGUUUCCUUCUCUCGCAUGUCACACCUCACAACAGCUCAUCAACUGACGCUACCACUAAAACAGUUAGGCGGAGCCAUCAUCUUUGUUUGGUCGAAUGAAAUACGUAACAAUCUUUCUACUACUUGUCGCGGUGACCAUGGCCAUCGCCGGCGCGGAGCACGACGUCGCGGACGUUGUUGACGAACUCCUCCCAGCCGAGCCACGACCCCUCCACCGCCGGAUCGAAGCUCGCCGAGAACACGCCGUACGGGACGCCCAGGAGGAGGCCGAAGAGCAGGAACCCCACCCAGAGCGGAGGCUCCAGGUCGAGCCCGGUCAC